AUUGAACGCUGGCGGCAGGCUUAACACAUGCAAGUCGAGCGAGCGGCGGACGGGUGAGUAAUGUCUGGGAAACUGCCUGAUGGAGGGGGAUAACUACUGGAAACGGUAGCUUAUACCGCAUACCAUCAGAUGUGCCCAGCUGGGAUUAGCGGGUAGGUGGGGUAAUGGCUCACCUAGGCGACGAUCCCUACCUGGUCUGCGAGGAUGACCAGCCACACUGGAACUGAGACACGGUCAGGACUCCUACGGGAGGCAGCAGUGGGGAAUAUUGGACAAGGGGGUAAAGCCGGAUGCGGCCAUGCGGCGUGUGUGAAGAAGGCCUUCGGGUUGUAAAGCACUUUCAGCGAGGAGGCGUUACUCGCAGAAGAAGCACCGGCUAACUCCGUGCCAGCAGCCGCGGUAAUUC
This 406-nucleotide ribosomal RNA is filed under the name uncultured bacterium. RNAcentral's name for it is "partial 16S ribosomal RNA". It matches the Rfam family "Bacterial small subunit ribosomal RNA", at positions 30 to 526 of the family's 1533-position model. The record is from RNAcentral.